ACUCAAAUGAAUUGACGGGGGCCCGCACAAGCGGUGGAACAUGUGGUUUAAUUCGAUGCAACGCGAAGAACCUUACCUGGGCUUGACAUCUGCAGAACCUCUCAGAGAUGAGGGGGUGCCUUCGGGAACUGCAAGACAGGUGGUGCACGGUUGUCGUCAGCUCGUGUCGUGAGAUGUUGGGUUAAGUCCCGCAACGAGCGCAACCCUCGUGGUCUGUUGUUACAGGUCGUAAGAUGCUGAACCCUCAGGCCAGACUGCCGGUGAUAAACCGGAGGAAGGUGGGGAUGACGUCAAAUCAUCACGCCCCUUAUGUCCAGGGCUACACACGUGUUACAAUGGGAUGAGGACAAUGGGAUGCUUGGUAGCGAUACUUGGCAAAUCCCCGAAACCUCCCCUCAGUUCGGAUCGGAGUCUGCAACUCGACUCCGUGAAGUCGGAAUCGCUAGUAAACGCAGAUCAGCACGCUGCGUUGAAUACGUUCCCGGGCCUUGUACACACCGCCCGU
RNAcentral lists this ribosomal RNA (505 nucleotides) under uncultured bacterium. Its description in RNAcentral is "partial 16S ribosomal RNA". It matches the Rfam family "Bacterial small subunit ribosomal RNA", at positions 899 to 1397 of the family's 1533-position model. The record is from RNAcentral.